RNAcentral lists this long non-coding RNA (1193 nucleotides) under Helianthus annuus (common sunflower). RNAcentral's name for it is "hypothetical non coding rna". The record is from RNAcentral. Lineage: Eukaryota; Viridiplantae; Streptophyta; Magnoliopsida; Asterales; Asteraceae.
GCAUGUUCGGUUUUAUUAUCAUAUAGAAACGAUUCACCAGUGUAUACAUAUAACAUAUGCUAGUGCUUCUCUUGCUUUCUUCCUCAUGGCUAGGUGAUUAAUUUGCAUGUUCGGUUUUAUUAUCAGGCGAUGAGAAAGAAAGAAAUCGAGUUUGUUUAUGGGCGACGAGAAAGAAAGAAAUUGAGAGUAUGCGAUCCGAAGGUUUAUAAUCACCAGGCAACUUAGUUAUAUAAAAACAAAGCUAUUUAAAACCAAAGGAAUUACAAAACAAAGAGACAUACACAACCAUAUAUGUCUUCUUAAAUACAAAAUAGCUAGUGGUCUUUAUUUAUUAUAAUUAUAACUAAUUUCCACUUCAAACAUCUUUCUUCCGUACAAUAAUAUUCCAUCCUCACUGCACCCUGCAAAAAAAAAAAAAAAAAAUCACCAUUAAUUAUCUAAGUAAAUAUUAAAUACAUGGUAUGGCUGCAUGCAAGAUAUAAACAAUAUAUGCACUUAAAUAUGUUCAUUGUAUUUGUUAAAUGUGUCAAAUACUUUAAUAUGUACUUUAUGUACUUGCUUUUUAUAGUAUGAAAAAAGGGGUUUUGUGAGCCAGGAUUCUCACUUGAUCAGCCUUGCGGACCAUACUCUAUGAGUGAGAUUUUACUUGUUACGUUGGUUUAUUUUGUAAACUUCUUUAAAACAUUUUAAGCGGUUACGUUGGUUUAUAUUGUAAACUUCUUUAAAACAUUUUAAAGUAGUUUAAAUAGAAGCAUAUAUGUGUAUAUGAAAUAACAUACUUGGUGCAAUCAGUGCUUGGGCUGAUCUUGUAAGGGAUGUUAACACCACACUUGCCGGGGAGGCUGGCGGCAUUGCCAGCGUUGAUGUUGGACGAGGCAGCACUCUUUAAGCAGUUACAAAUAGCCUGACGAUCAGCGGUUGUUUUAGCCAAGCUAUUGAGUCCUUUUACCCCACUACAGCAUGCAGGCGGCACAUCGCCCCCUUUGGUUAGGUAGCCAUAGCAUGACACUAGUUUACCCGUCACCUGACCGCAACUAAUAGCAUCCGCAUAGGGUGCAGCCACCACCAUGCAAGUCACCACUACACAUAAAACCAUCAUUGUCAUCCUUGCCAUUUUUUGAAGUUGUAAGAAACUUAUGCUUUUUUUUUGUAUGAUUGUAAGGUUGUUGGUGCUAUAAAACGUUGUUUAAGGU